Molecule: ribosomal RNA, 403 nt
Filed under: uncultured bacterium
Lineage: Bacteria
Description: partial 16S ribosomal RNA
Rfam family: Bacterial small subunit ribosomal RNA
Source: RNAcentral
AUUGAACGCUGGCGGCAGGCCUAACACAUGCAAGUCGAACGAGUGGCGUACGGGUGAGUAAUGUCUGGGAAAUGCAUGAUGGCGGGGGAAAACUACUGGAAACGGUAACUAAUAACGCAUACUAUCGGUUACCCCAUAUGGGGUUAGCUAGUAGGUGAGGUAAUGGCUCACCUAGGCGACGAGCCCUAGCUGGUCUGAGAGGAUGAUCAGCCACACUGGGACUGAGACACGGCCCAGACUCCUACGGAGGUACCAGUGGGGAAUAUUGCACAAUGGGCGCAAGCCUGAUGCAGCCAUGCCGCGUGUAUGAAGAAGGCCCUAGGGUUGUAAAGUACGUUCAGUCGGGAGGCGUUACCGACAGAAGAAGCACCGGCUAACUCCGUGCCAGCAGCCGCGGUAAUAC